This 49-nucleotide transfer RNA is filed under the name Chthoniobacterales bacterium. RNAcentral's name for it is "tRNA-Ser". It matches the Rfam family "tRNA", at positions 27 to 71 of the family's 71-position model. From Rfam's summary of the family: Transfer RNA (tRNA) molecules are approximately 80 nucleotides in length. The record is from RNAcentral. Lineage: Bacteria; Pseudomonadati; Verrucomicrobiota; Spartobacteria; Chthoniobacterales.
UCGGCUGUUAACCGAUUGGUCGUAGGUUCGAGUCCUACCGCUGGAGCCA